CCUACGGGAGGCUGCAGUCGAGAAUCAUUCGCAAUGGGGGAAACCCUGAUGGUGCGACGCCGCGUGGGGGAAUGAAGUUCUUCGGAUUGUAAACCCCUGUCAUGUGGGAGAAAAUUAAAAAGAUAGUACCACAAGAGGAAGAGACGGCUAACUCUGUACCAGCAGCCGCGGUAAUACCGAGGGCGCAAGCGUUGUUCGGAAUCACGGGGCGUAAAGCGUGCGUAGGCGGUUUCGUAAGUCGUGGGUGAAAGGCGCGGGCUCAACCCGCGGACGGCCCAUGAUACUGCGAGACUAGAGUAAUGGAGGGGGAACCGGAAUUCCAGGUGUAGCAGUGAAAUGCGUAGAUAUCGAGAGGAACAUUCGUGGCGAAGGCGGGUUCCUGGACAUUAACUGACGCUGAGGAACGAAGGCCAGGGGAGCGAAAGGGAUUAGAUACCCCUGUAGUC
This 446-nucleotide ribosomal RNA is filed under the name uncultured bacterium. RNAcentral describes it as "partial 16S ribosomal RNA". It matches the Rfam family "Bacterial small subunit ribosomal RNA", at positions 338 to 795 of the family's 1533-position model. The record is from RNAcentral.